GUUGCCUCGGAUCAGGUAGGAAUACCCGCUGAACUUAAAAAGAAACCAACAGGGAUUGCCCUAGUAACGGCGAGUGAAGCGGCAACAGCUCAAAUUUGAAAUCUGGCCCUAGGCCCGAGUUGUAAUUUGCAGAGGAUGCUUUUGGCAAAGCGCUUUAGUUACCGAGUCCCCUGGAACGGGGCGCCACAGAGGGUGAGAGCCCCGUAUGGUAUGACGCCGAGCCUCUGUAAAGCUCCUUCGACGAGUCGAGUGGGAAUGCUGCUCUAAAUGGGAGGUAAAUUUCUUCUAAAGCUAAAUACCGGCCAGAGACCGAUAGCGCACAAGUAGAGUGAUCGAAAGAUGAAAAGCACUUUGAAAAGAGGGUUAAAUAGCACGUGAAAUUGUUGAAAGGGAAGCGCUCGUGACCAGACU
RNAcentral lists this ribosomal RNA (411 nucleotides) under Gaeumannomyces graminis. RNAcentral's name for it is "eukaryotic LSU rRNA". It matches the Rfam family "Eukaryotic large subunit ribosomal RNA", at positions 1 to 435 of the family's 3401-position model. The record is from RNAcentral. Lineage: Eukaryota; Fungi; Ascomycota; Sordariomycetes; Magnaporthales; Magnaporthaceae.